This 425-nucleotide ribosomal RNA is filed under the name uncultured bacterium. RNAcentral's name for it is "partial 16S ribosomal RNA". It matches the Rfam family "Bacterial small subunit ribosomal RNA", at positions 354 to 795 of the family's 1533-position model. The record is from RNAcentral.
GUGAGGAAUUUUCCGCAAUGGGCGAAAGCCUGACGGAGCAAUGCCGCGUGAAGGAUGAAGGCCUAUGGGUUGUAAACUUCUUUUCUCAGAAAAGAAUUAUGACGGUAUCUGAGGAAUAAGCAUCGGCUAACUCUGUGCCAGCAGCCGCGGUAAGACAGAGGAUGCAAGCGUUAUCCGGAAUGAUUGGGCGUAAAGCGUCUGUAGGUUGUUUAAAAAGUAUUCUGUCAAAGAUUAGGGCUUAACCCUAGAUAGGCAGAAUAAACUUUUAAGCUAGAGUUUGGUAGAGGCAGAGGGAAUUCCCGGUGGAGCGGUGAAAUGCGUAGAUAUCGGGAGGAACACCAAAGGCGAAGGCACUCUGCUGGGCCAAUACUAACACUGAGAGACGAAAGCGAGGGGAGCAAAUGGGAUUAGAAACCCGGGUAGCC